AUUGAACGCUGGCGGCAUGCCUUACACAUGCAAGUCGAACGGCAGCACGGGAGCAAUCCUGGUGGCGAGUGGCGAACGGGUGAGUAAUAUAUCGGAACGUGCCCAGUAGUGGGGGAUAGCCCGGCGAAAGCCGGAUUAAUACCGCAUACGACCUGAGGGUGAAAGCGGGGGAUCGCAAGACCUCGCGCUAUUGGAGCGGCCGAUAUCAGAUUAGCUAGUUGGUGGGGUAAAGGCCUACCAAGGCUACGAUCUGUAGUUGGUCUGAGAGGACGACCAGCCACACUGGGACUGAGACACGGCCCAGACUCCUACGGGAGGCAGCAGUGGGGAAUUUUGGACAAUGGGCGCAAGCCUGAUCCAGCAAUGCCGCGUGCAGGAAGAAGGCCUUCGGGUUGUAAACUAGCUUUUGUUCAGGGAAGGAAAUACUUCUGGGCUAAUACCCCGGAGGAUGACGGUACUCGAAGAAUAAGACACCGGCUAACUACGUAGCCAGCAGCCG
RNAcentral lists this ribosomal RNA (499 nucleotides) under uncultured bacterium. Its description in RNAcentral is "bacterial SSU rRNA". It matches the Rfam family "Bacterial small subunit ribosomal RNA", at positions 30 to 517 of the family's 1533-position model. The record is from RNAcentral.